CCAGAUUCCCCAUGGGGGAGGAUGAGAAGCUUCGACCUCGAAGGUUUGACCCGAAGGGUGAGUCGCAACGCGACGAAAAAUCUUUCCCCCACCACCA
RNAcentral lists this small RNA (97 nucleotides) under Erwinia pyri. RNAcentral describes it as "Erwinia sp. DE2 RtT sRNA". It matches the Rfam family "RtT RNA". Rfam says of the family: This family represents a bacterial cis-regulatory element known as RtT RNA. The exact function of RtT is unknown although it is thought that it may be involved in changing the cellular response in relation to amino acid starvation. Lineage: Bacteria; Pseudomonadati; Pseudomonadota; Gammaproteobacteria; Enterobacterales; Erwiniaceae. The record is from RNAcentral.